Molecule: unclassified non-coding RNA, 336 nt
Filed under: soil metagenome
Description: partial contains 5.8S ribosomal RNA, internal transcribed spacer 2, and large subunit ribosomal RNA
Rfam family: 5.8S ribosomal RNA (bases 1-120)
Source: RNAcentral
GAUGAAGAACGUAGCGAAAUGCGAUAAGUAAUGUGAAUUGCAGAAUUCCGUGAAUCAUCGAAUCUUUGAACGCACAUUGCGCCCCCUGGCAUUCCGGGGGGCAUGCCUGUCCGAGCGUCAUUUCUGCCCUCAAGCACGGCUUGUGUGUUGGGUGUGGUCCCCCCGGGGACCUGCCCGAAAGGCAGCGGCGACGUCCGUCUGGUCCUCGAGCGUAUGGGGCUCUGUCACUCGCUCGGGAAGGACCUGCGGGGGUUGGUCACCACUAUAUUUUACCACGGUUGACCUCGGAUCAGGUAGGAGUUACCCGCUGAACUUAAGCAUAUCAAAAGCGGAGGA